UGAUGCUUAUACAGAAAAUGAACUUUC
RNAcentral lists this non-coding RNA (27 nucleotides) under Mus musculus (house mouse). The record is from RNAcentral. Lineage: Eukaryota; Metazoa; Chordata; Mammalia; Rodentia; Muridae.